RNAcentral lists this ribosomal RNA (440 nucleotides) under uncultured bacterium. Its description in RNAcentral is "partial 16S ribosomal RNA". It matches the Rfam family "Bacterial small subunit ribosomal RNA", at positions 338 to 795 of the family's 1533-position model. The record is from RNAcentral.
CCUACGGGCGGCAGCAGUGGGGAAUAUUGGGCAAUGGAGGCAACUCUGACCCAGCAACGCCGCGUGAAUGAUGAAGGUCUUCGGAUUGUAAAGUUCUUUUGUUAGAGAAGAUUAUGACGGUAUCUAACGAAUAAGCACCGGCUAACUCCGUGCCAGCAGCCGCGGUAAUACGGAGGGUGCAAGCGUUACUCGGAAUCACUGGGCGUAAAGAGUGCGUAGGCGGGGUAAUAAGUCAGAUGUGAAAUCCUGUAGCUUAACUACAGAACUGCAUUUGAAACUGUUACUCUGGAGUGUGGGAGAGGUAGGUGGAAUUCUUGGUGUAGGGGUAAAAUCCGUAGAGAUCAAGAGGAAUACUCAUUGCGAAGGCGACCUGCUGGAACAUUACUGACGCUGAUGCACGAAAGCGUGGGGAGCAAACAGGAUUAGAUACCCUUGUAGUC